Molecule: ribosomal RNA, 170 nt
Filed under: Neoniphon argenteus (clearfin squirrelfish)
Lineage: Eukaryota; Metazoa; Chordata; Actinopteri; Holocentriformes; Holocentridae
Description: partial small subunit ribosomal RNA
Source: RNAcentral
CACCGCGGUUAUACGAGAGGUCCAAGUUGAUAAUAUCCGGCGUAAAGAGUGGUUAGGGAAAAAUACCAAACUAAAGCCAAACACCUUCAGGGCUGUUAUACGUACUCGAAGGAAAGAGGAUCUAUCACGAAAGUGGCUUUAUUAACCCUGAACCCACGAAAGCUAUGAAA